RNAcentral lists this ribosomal RNA (440 nucleotides) under uncultured bacterium. RNAcentral describes it as "bacterial SSU rRNA". It matches the Rfam family "Bacterial small subunit ribosomal RNA", at positions 36 to 483 of the family's 1533-position model. The record is from RNAcentral.
GAAUUCGAUUCAGGCCUAACACAUGCAAGUCGAACGGCAGCACAGGAGAGCUUGCUCUCUGGGUGGCGAGUGGCGGACGGGUGAGGAAUACAUCGGAAUCUACCCUUUCGUGGGGGAUAACGUAGGGAAACUUACGCUAAUACCGCAUACGAUCUGAGGAUGAAAGCAGGGGACCGCAAGGCCUUGCGCGAUUGGAUGAGCCGAUGUCCGAUUAGCUAGUUGGCGGGGUAAAGGCCCACCAAGGCGACGAUCGGUAGCUGGUCUGAGAGGAUGAUCAGCCACACUGGAACUGAGACACGGUCCAGACUCCUACGGGAGGCAGCAGUGGGGAAUAUUGGACAAUGGGGGCAACCCUGAUCCAGCACAGGCCGCGUGUGUGAAGAAGGCCUUCGGGUUUAAAGCAAAGGGUGGGAAAGAAAUCCUGUCGGCCAAUACCCGGC